GAGGGUAUAGCUCAGUGGUAGAGUGCCUGUUUUAGCAGGCAUGAGGUCCUGGGUUCAAUUCCUAGUACCUCCA
This 73-nucleotide transfer RNA is filed under the name Camelus bactrianus (Bactrian camel). It matches the Rfam family "tRNA". From Rfam's summary of the family: Transfer RNA (tRNA) molecules are approximately 80 nucleotides in length. Their secondary structure includes four short double-helical elements and three loops (D, anti-codon, and T loops). Further hydrogen bonds mediate the characteristic L-shaped molecular structure. tRNAs have two regions of fundamental functional importance: the anti-codon, which is responsible for specific mRNA codon recognition, and the 3' end, to which the tRNAs corresponding amino acid is attached (by aminoacyl-tRNA synthetases). tRNAs cope with the degeneracy of the genetic code in two manners: having more than one tRNA (with a specific anti-codon) for a particular amino acid; and 'wobble' base-pairing, i.e. permitting non-standard base-pairing at the 3rd anti-codon position. RNAcentral also lists the same sequence under 2 other names. Lineage: Eukaryota; Metazoa; Chordata; Mammalia; Artiodactyla; Camelidae. The record is from Rfam by way of RNAcentral.